This 3298-nucleotide long non-coding RNA is filed under the name Sus scrofa (pig). Its description in RNAcentral is "lncRNA (ENSSSCG00015024438.1)". Lineage: Eukaryota; Metazoa; Chordata; Mammalia; Artiodactyla; Suidae. The record is from RNAcentral.
GGAGUUAUAACCCCAUGCCUUUCUGUCUGUGAGGGCAGAAUCUUAGCUGUGGAUGGUGCCCCAUGGGGAGAGCUGUGCCCUCACAAGCCACUCCUUUACUAGGUUUCAUUCUCUUGGUUUCAUUAGGUUGACCUGGCCUAAUAGUGGUUUGGGGUUGGAGAAACGAUGUUCUGAUUUUAAGUUUGUAAGACGCUUGCCUUUCUGCUGGAGUAAUUUGGAGGCAUCUGAGUGAAGCAUCUCAACCCUUGCUGGCUCUGGGUCUUAAUAUCUGGGCCCAGAAAUGUGGAGGGCUGAGUAAGGUAUGGGGGAGCUGAACAGGCCAGCCAGAGAUGGAAGAAAUGAAGCAAUUCAGAAGUGGUUCUUCACUUUGGUUUCCACCAGUUGUUAUGGAUAGAGACUAUAGAGCUCACAUUAUUUGGUUUCUCAUAUUUGGGCCUUGCCUGUUCCAGCUGCCUUGGCAUGAUGGAGACCUAGGUGGUUGUUUUCACCAGGCUGUAGAGAACUGAGGACUCAGUGCUUGUUCUCUGACCAUUGCAUGCUCUCCUUUGCCAAUGAAAGAGCUCAUUCAUGCCAUAAAUUGAGGGUGGACUCAGAGCUCUACUUUCCUUCAUCUGACUGGGUCAGCGCCCUCCACCUUAUUCUGAAGCCACCCUCGUGUGCUGACUUGACUUCCUCACCAUCAGCUUGGUCAGCACACCAUACCAGCUUAGCACCAGCUGCUCUGUGGCUGAGGCCAGAGAAAAAGAAGUGCAAAAUGACUCUGUGCUCCUUACGCUACUAGGAGGAGCCAUCCAAGUUUGUAGAGGGUUCAUCACAGUGUCAGAAAUCCCAAAUGGAUUGUCUUUGGGUCUGACCCCUCCUCUUUGCCCCCCCCCCCCCCCGCUUUGUUCUUCUUUUGUUCCUUUUUUCAAAAUCUUUUUAUUUCUUAUGGUUUUUUUUUUGUUUUGUUUUGUUUUGUCUUUUUGCUAUUUCUUGGGCCGCUCCUGCGCAUAUGGAGGUUCCCAGGCUAGGGGUCAAAUCGGAGCUGUGGCCGCCAGCCUACGCCAGAGCCACAGCAACGAAGGAUCCGAGCCGCGUCUGCAACCUACACCACAGCUCACGGCAACGCCGGAUCGUUAACCCACUGUGCAAGGGCAGGGACCGAACCCGCAACCUCAUGGUUCCUAGUCAGAUUUGUUAACAACUGAGCCAUGAUGGGAACUCCCUCUUUUUUUAAUUUUUAAUGAUUUUGAUUUUUUCCAUUAUAGUUGGUUUACAAUGUUCUGUCAAUUUCUACUGUACAGCAAAGUGUCCCAGUCACACAUAUAUAUAUUGUUUUUCUCACAUUACUCUCCAUAAUAUUCCAUCACAAGUGACUAGAUAUAGUUCCCUAUAUAGCAGGAUCUCAUUCCUUAUCCACUCCAAAUGCAGUAGUUUGCAUCUAUUAACCCCAGACUCCCAGUCCAUCCCACUCCCCCCUCUGCCUUGGCAACCACAAGUCUGUUCUCCAAGUCCAUGAGUUUCUUUUCUGUGGAAAGGUUCAUCUGUGUGGUAUAUUAGAUUCCAGAUAUAAGUGGUAUCAUACGGUAUUUGUGUUUCUCUUGCUGACUUACUUCACUUAGUAUGAGUCUAGUUCCAUCCAUGUUGCUGCAAAUGGCAUUAUUUUCUUUUUAUGGGUGAGUAGUAUUCCAGUGUGUGUGUAUCUCACAUCCUCUUAAUCCAUUCAUCUGAGGAUGGGCAUUUAGGUGGUUUCCCCUUUUUUUUGGGUGUGGGGGGCUCUCAUCUGCAGCAUAUGAAAGUUCCCAGGCUAGGGGUCAAAUCAGAGCUGUAGCCACUGGCCCACUCCACAGCUCACUUCAAUGCUGGAUUCUUAACCCACUGAGUGAGACCAGGGAUCGAACCUUCGUCCUCAUGCAUGCUAGUCAGAUUUGUUUCCCCUAAGCUAUGACAGAAACUCCUUUGUUUUGUUCCUUAAAUAACGUCUACGAUAAAUUUGCUCUCUCUGUCCUCAAAGGUGUUCCCCAAAUUGUGAGAUGCCUAACCCAUAAGUAAAGUGACCAGCAAUCCCCAUGGGAGAAGGGGUACAUUUACCCUUUGAGAUUCUCACAGUCCUUCUGUUCACUUUGAGAGAAAGUCUCAUUGGGAGCUGAUCUGCCUUUGUGUACAUCGAGUGCCAUUAAGAAUCUUGGGCUUGCAGCCACACCAAUGUUGUUUUCAUUGUACCUAUGCAUAUGGAGUUCCGGGGCCAGGGGCCAGCCUAUGCUACAUCUGUGGCAAUGCCAGAUCCUUAACCCGUUGUGCUGGGCUGAAGAUCGAACCUUCGUCCCUGCGCUCCAGAGACACCACUGAUCCUGCUGCACCACAGUGGUAACUUCUCUUUGUACUUAUUUUUAUACUGGCUCUUUGUAGCAGCAGAUGCUGGCUGGUUUUAAAGUUAAUGGCCUUUUUCUUCUUUUUCUCUUAAUUUUGGAAAAUUUUCAAAUCUAUAAAAAGUAGAUUUACCAAUUAAUAUUUUGCCACAUUUGUUUUAUCAGUGCACAUUUUUUCCUAAAUCGCAGAUGUGAUAUCUUACCUCAUGUACUUUAGCAAACAUCGCUUUGAUAGUAAGGCAUUGUCUUGAAAGCCAGGACCCCAAAUAAUACUUGUAUAUCCUUGUUCAUAGUAGUAUUGUCAUAAUGGUCAAAAGGUGGAAGCAACCCAAGUGUCCAUGGAUGGAUAAAUGAACAAAUAUGAUGUAUCUAUACAGUGGUAUAUUGUUCAGCUGUAAAAAGGAAGGAAAUUGUGAUACAGGCUACACACGGAUGAACCUUGAGGAUAUUAUGUUAAGUGAAAGAAGCCAGUCAUGAAGAAAUAAAUCCUGUGUGAUUCCGCUUAUAUUAGGUAGUUAGAGUAGUAGUCACAUUCAUAGAGACAGAAGGUAGAAUAGUGGUUACUAAGGGCUGGAGGGAGGAGGAAAUGGGGAGUUGGUAUUUAAUGGGUAUAGAGUUUCAGUUUUGCAAGGUGAAAAAAGUUCUGGAGAUGGAGAGAGGUAACAGUUGCCCAACAGUGUGAUUGUAUUUAAUGCCACUAAACUAUGUGCUUAAAAACAGUUUAUAUAGGGAGUUCCCGUCAUGGCUCAGUGGUAACGAACCCAACUAGGAUCCAUGAGGAUGAGAUUCCAUCCCUGGCCUCGCUCAGUGGGUUAAGGAUCUGGUGUUGCCAUGAGCUGUGGUGUAGGUCCCAGACAUGGCUUCGAUUAUAUGUUGCUGUAGCUGUGGUGUAGGCCUGCAACUACAGCUCAGAAUCUACCCCUAGGCUGGGAACUUCCAUAUGCUGUGGG